GUUUCCUUCGGGGAAUGGAUUAGCGGCGGACGGGUGAGUAACACGUGGGUAACCUGCCUCAUAGAGGGGAAUAGCCUUCCGAAAGGGAGAUUAAUACCGCAUAAUAUUAUCGAGUGGCAUCACUUGAUGAUCAAAGGAGCAAUCCGCUAUGGGAUGGACCCGCGUCGCAUUAGUUAGUUGGUGGGGUAACGGCCUACCAAGACGACGAUGCGUAGCCGACCUGAGAGGGUGAUCGGCCACAUUGGGACUGAAACACGGCCCAGACUCCUACAGGAGGCAGCAGUGGGGAAUAUUGCACAAUGGAGGAAACUCUGAUGCAGCAACGCCGCGUGAGCGAUGAAGGUCUUCGGAUCGUAAAGCUCUGUCUUUAGGGAUGAUAAUGACAGUACCUAAGGAGGAAGCCACGGCUAACUACGUGCCAGCAGCCGCGGUAAUACGUAGGUGGCGAGCGUUAUCCGGAUUUAUUGGGCGUAAAGGGAGCGUAGGCGGAUACUUAAGUGGGAUGUGAAAUACUUGGGCUCAACCCGAGUACUGCAUUCCAAACUGAGUAUCUAGAGUGCAGGAGAGGGGAGUGGAAUUCCUAGUGUAGCGGUGAAAUGCGUAGAGAUUAGGAAGAACACCAGUGGCGAAGGCGACUCUCUGGACUGUAACUAACGCUGAGGCUCGAAAGCGUGGGGAGCGAACAGGAUUAGAUACCCUGGUAGUCCACGCCGUAAACGAUGAAUACUAGGUGUAGGGGUUUCGAUACCUCUGUGCCGCCGCU
Molecule: ribosomal RNA, 763 nt
Filed under: uncultured bacterium
Lineage: Bacteria
Description: SSU rRNA
Rfam family: Bacterial small subunit ribosomal RNA
Source: RNAcentral